Rosa chinensis is the source of this 2250-nucleotide RNA transcript. It is a transcript of the gene named GPCR-type G protein 1, with no coding region annotated. Lineage: Eukaryota; Viridiplantae; Streptophyta; Magnoliopsida; Rosales; Rosaceae. The transcript is spliced from 13 exons. The record is from RefSeq and is a predicted model, not a curated record.
UUUUUCAGCAACGAAAAUAGAACAGCAGAAGUGUGAGUAAAGUAACGAAGUUGGUUAAUUAGGAAUAGAAGAGAUCUGAAGAAGAAGGAGAAGAUGGGUUGGGGUUGGGCAAUAUGGGAGGGAGUGGUAGCGGGGGGAUCUCUGGGACUGCUGGGUUGGGCCGGGUUGUGGUUCUUGAACCGAAGGCUGUACAAAGAGUACGAAGAGAAGAGGGUGUUAGUUCAGAUCAUUUUCAGCGUCGUCUUCGCCUUCUCUUGUAAUCUGUUGCAGCUCGUCCUCUUCGAGAUCAUCCCCCUUCUCUCCCAGAGGGCACGAUGGCUCAACUGGAAGCUCGAUUUGUUUUGCCUCAUACUCUUACUCGUUUUCAUGCUGCCUUACUACCAUUGUUUUCUCAUGCUUUGCAACAAUGGAUUCCGUAAAGAGCGCGCGGCUUUUGGAUCCGCCUUGUUCCUCCUCGCUUUCCUUUAUGCUUUCUGGCGCAUGGGAAUUCACUUCCCCAUGCCUUCCCCUGAUAAAGGCUUCUUCACAAUGCCCCAACUGGUCAGUCGGAUUGGGGUCAUUGGCGUUACCGUCAUGGCUGUCUUGUCUGGCUUUGGAGCUGUCAAUUUGCCCUACAGUUAUUUAUCUCUCUUUAUCAGAGAGAUCGAGGAAGCCGAGAUCAAGUCCUUGGAAAGACAGCUAAUGCAAUCCAUCGAGAGUUGUAUUACUAAGAAAAAGAAAAUCAUUCUUUCUCAGAUGGAGAUGGAAAGGAUUCAAGGAUCAGAAGAGAAAUUAAAGGCUAGAUCUUUCUUUAAAAGAAUUGUUGGCACUGUUGUGCGAUCUGUGCAAGAGGAUCAAAAGGAGCAAGAUAUCAAAAACAUGGAAGCAGAAGUGCAAUCAUUAGAAGAGCUUUCAAAGCAGCUAUUCCUGGAAAUAUAUGAGCUUCGUCAAGCAAAGGAGGCUGCUGCUUAUUCUCGUACCUGGAGAGGUCAUAUGCAGAAUCUACUUGGCUAUGCAUGUUCAAUCUACUGUGUAUAUAAAAUGAUUAAGUCUUUGCAGAGUGUUGUUUUCAAGGAGGCUGGCUCUGUGGAUCCUGUGACAAUGACAAUUAGCAUAUUUCUGCAGUUUUUUGACAUUGGCAUCAAUGCAGCAUUAUUAUCACAGUAUAUUUCACUCUUGUUCAUUGGAAUGUUGAUUGUUAUAUCAGUACGGGGAUUCUUGACAAAUUUGAUGAAGUUCUUUUUUGCAGUUUCCAGAGUUGGAAGUGGAUCUUCUAGCAAUGUCGUAUUGUUUCUGUCGGAAAUUAUGGGAAUGUACUUUGUGUCAUCUAUUCUUUUGAUCAGAAAAAGCUUGGCAACUGAGUACAGGAUGAUCAUAACAGAUGUUUUGGGUGGAGAUAUUCAAUUUGACUUCUACCACCGGUGGUUUGAUGCUAUCUUUGUGGCCAGUGCUUUCCUUUCUCUGCUCUUGCUUUCUGCACAUUAUACUUCUCGGCAGGCUGACAAACACCCGAUCGAUUAAUGUAAUUUAAUGCCAACCUGCUCCCUUGCAAACUUCCAAUAAGGAUUAGCUGGAAGAGUUUGGCACUUGUGUAUGAAAAGCAACAAUAUCCAGCAGCUUUGAUCAACCUUACUGUGUGGAGAUGAGGAAGAAAGCCAAUAGUUUUUUGGGGUUGGAAAGGGAAUCCAAGUUGUCCAACACAGUAGUGCUGUUAACUUAGCUUACAGUGAUUGUAACGAUGUAUGGUCACACAUAGCAGUGGUGAACUUCCACAGCGGUUGGUGGUGCUUGUUACCAGAAGUCUUUUACAGUGGUAUAAUGCAGCCUAGAUGGCUUACAAAACCUGAAUGGUUUCCGACAGAGGAUCCUGGAGGAAGAAGACCGAGAGCAGUGUGGUGUUAAAUAAACCAUAAAAUGUUGCUCAUCAAGACUCAAUUGUACAGGAAUUAUUAGGUGAAUCUAAUAUGCCAGCUACUUUGUCAAAAGGAUAAAAAACUAUACUAAAAGAGAAAAGAGUUUGCUUGCCAUGUUUGGAUUCUCAGCCUGUCCAUCUCUCAGCUCGGAACUCUUUAUGGGCUCUGGAUUUAGCCACCUUUUAAGACUUUUUCCUCCUGUAUGGCUCUAUUGCGGUUUCAACUAAUAUCUCUUCAUGAGGGUGUAAUAUUUUCUUCGCAUCUCAAAGAAAUUUCAUGAAGCGAUACGAGUUGGCAUAAACAAUGUUGUGGAGAUACUUCAAUAAUGUCAUUGUUUCUUUCCUUUUCAUUUCACAUU